Molecule: unclassified non-coding RNA, 342 nt
Filed under: Hevea brasiliensis (rubber tree)
Lineage: Eukaryota; Viridiplantae; Streptophyta; Magnoliopsida; Malpighiales; Euphorbiaceae
Source: RNAcentral
UUUUUUACUGUUACUAUAGGUUUCGAUGGAUUUAACAACGAAAAGAAGUUGAAUUCUCUUGACGCUUUGCACGAAAUACUGCUUAUGCUACCAGUUACAGCUCAAGGAUAUUCAAUGGAAGUUCAGUUUGUAUCUGCUUACACCUGGUCCAAAAUCUAUGAAUGUUUUCCUCACAUCACCCCCACAUUGUUGGUAUGCCCUGCUCUGUUUGGUCCAGAACACAGAACCACACAUUCAAGUACUACAAGUCCACAACAUGAGAACAAGAUGUACAAGUCGAACCAACGGACUGGUGACAUGAAGAACCAUAGCCCCCACUGUGAUACGAUGACACAGUGUCAG